Molecule: long non-coding RNA, 1436 nt
Organism: Anneissia japonica
Lineage: Eukaryota; Metazoa; Echinodermata; Crinoidea; Comatulida; Comatulidae
Exons: 6
Source: RefSeq, a predicted model, not a curated record
UGCUCAAAUAAUGUCAUUUUUUAAAUUGAUUUUUCGGAUUUUUUGGGGGUAUUUUUCUGUUCAAAUAUUUUAAUUGUUUUAAAAUGUUUUAAUCCUCUUUGAUGAAUGAGGCCCUACUAAAUAUUUAUACAUAUGCAUGAACUUGUACGCAACGCCCAGCUGGCUACGUGGAAGAAGAAGAGACUGCGACACCUGGAGUUCAGUAGAUUAAUUUAGUAGUGUAAACGUAUCUCAAAUAUUAUUUUGUUUGUUUGGAGCACGUAAUUUCUUCCCUGUAAAAAAAUCUGUAGAAGGCUGAACAUUGCAAUAUGCACUUCUGAAAAUCCCAGCAAAUCAGUGGACUCAUUGCUCAUCUCGAUGGCUAUAGUGUUGCUUUCUUGGUUUACUUCGUGAAUACUUACCUGGAUAAACUGACUAAUUGCCUAUUAUUUCUCUCACGAGAAACACCCUUCGAAAAUAAUAGAACAGUUGACUCCUGGCGCCAAGCACAACCGGCCCCGCAACCAUGCAACUUCCUCAUUCUUUUUGGAUAGUCGAAAGUUACACCGUUGAUUGUUUCGUGCUCGCUCGUUAAUUCUGCUGAAUGUAAAAAUUCUGUAGAAGGCUGAACAUUGUAAUAUGCACUUCUGAAAAUCCCAGCAAACCAGUGGACUCAUCCUCCUCAGCUCGAUGACUAUAAUGUUGCUUUCGUGUUUUGCGCUCGUUCAUUCUGCUGAAUGUGAAUUCAUCCUGCUCUAUGGCUUAUUCCGAAAACUGAUUGACAAUCGCACGAUUCUGAUACUGAUGCAAGUUGUCUUGAUCCAGUAACUUCAAGAACUCUUCAAGAUGUUCCAACUAAAUUUCAGUAGGAAUGAAAUGAGACCAGGAUGAUACACAAAACCAAUAGAUGAAACAAGAAAACAGGCUAAAAAAUAUGGAGCGAACACGAGGAUACUACAGGAACAGCAAGAGAGGGGAAAUUAUAGAGAAGCAGAAAAUGAAAAAUGAUAAACCAAAUGUGGGAAAAUAUAGACAAUAAUGUGUUUCAAAAUUCAUACCAAAGACCUAAACCAUAACAAUGGCUACAACCAAGCUUUAGGUCAUGGAUUUUUUUACUGCAUUUGGCACGAAUGCACUAUUAAAAUUGAAUUUGAGGGCUAACACUAUGUUUGAAAACAUACAAAAUACAGCUAACCUGAACUGCGAGCACACACACGCUUUUAAUUUACUAUCUAUUUAGUACCGUUAUUUUAUCAUAUUCAGUAUAAAGGUCGGGGUACACAUUUCAUAAAUUCAAUCAUUUCUAUGCUCAAUUUAAUGAUUGGCAUGUUAGUACAAAAUAAACAAGAUAAUUUCAGAACUAUUUUAUAUAAUUUUUUUCACUUUUUAGGCGACAAUACAUUUUUAUGUCAAACAACAAAGAUUUCUUCAAACUAUAAGGCACCAAAUGUACUUUC